This 497-nucleotide ribosomal RNA is filed under the name uncultured bacterium. RNAcentral describes it as "partial 16S ribosomal RNA". It matches the Rfam family "Bacterial small subunit ribosomal RNA", at positions 28 to 507 of the family's 1533-position model. The record is from RNAcentral.
GAUGAACGCUGGCGGCGUGCCUAAUACAUGCAAGUCGAGCGAACAGACGAGGAGCUUGCUCCUUUGACGUUAGCGGCGGACGGGUGAGUAACACGUGGGUAACCUACCUAUAAGACUGGGAUAACUUCGGGAAACCGGAGCUAAUACCGGAUAAUAUUUCGAACCGCAUGGUUCGAUAGUGAAAGAUGGCUCUGCUAUCACUUAUAGAUGGACCUGCGCCGUAUUAGCUAGUUGGUAAGGUAACGGCUUACCAAGGCAACGAUACGUAGCCGACCUGAGAGGGUGAUCGGCCACACUGGAACUGAGACACGGUCCAGACUCCUACGGGAGGCAGCAGUAGGGAAUCUUCCGCAAUGGGCGAAAGCCUGACGGAGCAACGCCGCGUGAGUGAUGAAGGUCUUCUGAUCGUAAAACUCUGUUAUUAGGGAAGAACAAACGUGUAAGUAACUGUGCACGUCUUGACGGUACCUAAUCAGAAAGCCACGGCUAACUACGUG